AAGACAUUAGUAAAAUGCAAAUUACACCACCUUGUCAAGGUGGAAUUGCAGGUUAAAUCCCUGUAUGUCUUA
Molecule: transfer RNA, 72 nt
Filed under: Hemibarbus barbus
Lineage: Eukaryota; Metazoa; Chordata; Actinopteri; Cypriniformes; Gobionidae
Also listed under: 9 other names
Description: tRNA-Asp
Rfam family: tRNA
About the family: Transfer RNA (tRNA) molecules are approximately 80 nucleotides in length. Their secondary structure includes four short double-helical elements and three loops (D, anti-codon, and T loops).
Source: RNAcentral